UAUAAGAGAUUUUGAGUUGUUGCUUGCAACGUUUGACCACUCGUCUUAUUCAAAAUUUUUUAAGAUUAUUAUUUAUUUUAUUUGUGACUUACUUUAUUAUUUACAGUAUUUUAAGCACAACUUUUUAUUUUUUAUAUUUGCAAAAAAAAUUGAAUAAGACGAGUGGUCAAACGUUGCAAACAGAAACUCAAAAUACUCAAA
RNAcentral lists this microRNA precursor (201 nucleotides) under Oryza glumipatula. Its description in RNAcentral is "MIR812 microRNA precursor family". It matches the Rfam family "MIR812 microRNA precursor family". Lineage: Eukaryota; Viridiplantae; Streptophyta; Magnoliopsida; Poales; Poaceae. The record is from Rfam by way of RNAcentral.